GUCAUGUCAUCUCUUGCUCAUGUUAAGCAUCAAAAUUAGUCAAUUAGAAGGCGAUAAUCCUAGUUAGAUGAGAGGGAUUUGUUGAUCAUAUUUUUAUUGUCAAAAAAUUAACGUCGUCUGUGGAAAACUUGAACAAAGAAAACCAAAAAAAUUGUCAAUUUAAGCUAAGAAAAUGUUUAAAUUUGCAGAUGAUGAUCCAAGCAGGAAAGAAAGUGCUGAAAAAGAGAGCGAAAGAGCAUAGCAAUGGUUCGGAGGACAGUGACGUGAAUCCAAAACGACGACGAGAAGAAACAUUGUCAAAAUUAUACAAUGUCAUUUCAUCCGCUCGGCGACAUUUCUAAUGGAGAAGCAUGUUCACAGUAGAGACUAUACAGGAAACAGUGAUAAACUUCAAGACACUAACAACUGAAAAUGAAUCUCAACGAACUAGCUUGAAAGUCUAAGGGCGAAUUGGCAAGAUGAAAUUGGUGAGAAUGAAAUGGAGCAUGUUGCUAGCUUCUUCCUUGGGAGCAGCAACAACUCUGGUAUUAAAAAUCUACAAUAAUAUGAAGCAACAGAAGUAGCGGAUGAAUGACCCUGUCCUUGAGAGAUUCUCCAAUGAGAAGCACGUUCGUAACGAGAAGUAUGAUAGGCGCAAUUAUCAUGAAGAUUGGAGAGCGAAAAGCCUGGUCUACCUCGUAUAACGUACAUCUGUGUAGGAAUUAUGAAGACCAACCUGCAACAGGAAAGGGUUGAGGUCAUUGGGUUGAAGCCCCCCCCUCCCAAUUGCCAGGAAAAAAAAUAAAAAAAAAAUACCAUCUUUCUAGUUGUGGACCUUGUUAGGGGUAAUUACAAGUUUUGAACGUACUCUGGAAGAACGAGGAGAAAGAUGGUAUUAUCUUGUUUGUGGGUUUGUUGCCUUCAUAGAUGAUAGAUGGAUUAGAAUAUAUUCGAUGAAAGUUUCCCCUUUAAACCUGCGAGUUUCGGAUAGGAGCAAUAUCAAAGGAGGAAAGAAUGUCGCAGAAUAAAUGGUGAAAAGGAUUUCCAAGCCCAUAUCCAUCGAAUGCUUAUGAAUAGCUAUACAAUCAUGAAGAGGACAAUUCGUAGUUUGAAACUGCCAAGGCAUAACAACUCUAUAUCACUAGGGAUAUUAGAACUAUCCCGAACAUCACCCAAAUCUUUUUCAAUAAGAUUGGUAAAAAUAACUGAGGCCACAAAAACUUCCCUAUCACUAACCUGAAGGCUAUUCGAAUUGCUCAAAAGUUUGCGCACCACGUCCCAUACCUCAACUCUAACUUGAACACUACUUCCUGACUUACAGAAUGGGGCAAUGCUCCAGUACACCUAACUUCUUCAGAAAAAGAAGAGGCACUAAAUGAAGUCACCUAACUUAUAGGUUGUCAAUAAGAUGCACAUGGACAAACAGUUGAAACUUGAUUCAUAACCGAAUUAUUUAGUAGAUAGCCAAUAAGGAGUCGCCUCCUGUUAUUAUGCAAAAAUGACAAUAUUACCCCAACACUUGGAGGAAAAUCUAUAAAUACCACCUCAUUUGAAGAAUAUGUUAUGUAAUUCAAAUACCUCCCUCCAAACAGAUAUUUCUUCUCUUGUUUUGAGUUGAAAUAUUUAGGUGAAAAUAGGAGGUGAAACUUAUAGUUAGGUGAGAAGAUUUGUUGAUUGUAUUUAUAUUUGAUUUUCGAUUGUAAUUAUUUUAUCAAUAAAAUCGUUUGAUUCGAUUUCUACUGUCAGCAAUUUUUUUCAUCUCUAUUUUAAAAGCAGC
This 1756-nucleotide long non-coding RNA is filed under the name Olea europaea subsp. europaea. Lineage: Eukaryota; Viridiplantae; Streptophyta; Magnoliopsida; Lamiales; Oleaceae. The record is from RNAcentral.